UUAUUUCAGGUUAUGAAGUGGGUGAAAAAGGCUUAAAGGUAGAAGAAGCAACGUAGCUUCCCUCUUUUUUAUGGCGGUGACUCACAGGCUUUUCUUCAGAUAAACCGCGUUAAACAACAUUCUAGAAUCCUUGCCGGGGAUUCAGUCCGGUCGAUGAUCAGAGCUCUGGUUGCCGUCGGAGGAGACGAGGUAGAGCCUUUAUUUGUUGUUCGUUGUUGUUGCGUGAGAGAAAAGCGAGUUUUCGUAGGUACAUAAGAAGAGGAAGAGUCAAAAUGAAUGGUAAUAGCAAUGGAUUCGGGAGUGCGGCGGCGGCGGCGGCGGCUGACUAUAUAAGGAGACGCCAUCUGCAUGAGAUUGGAGAGAAUCAGUGUAGUUCGUCUCUCGUAAAGCACAUCAAUGCUCCUGUUCCUCUUGUUUGGUCUUUGGUGAGGAGAUUCGACCAACCUCAGAUGUAUAAACCUUUUGUCAGCAGGUGUGUUGCACAGGGAAACCUCGAGAUUGGAAGUCUUAGAGAAGUUGAUGUCAAGUCGGGACUCCCAGCUACGACAAGUACUGAAAGAUUGGAACUCCUUGAUGAUAACGAGCAUAUCCUCAGCAUCAGGAUUAUAGGUGGUGAUCACAGACUUAAGAACUACUCUUCAAUCAUUUCCCUCCAUCCAGAGAUCAUCGAUGGAAGGCCGGGGACAUUAGGCAUCGAAUCCUUUGUGGUGGAUGUGCCUGAAGGGAACACAAGGGACGAGACAUGCUACUUUGUUGAAGCUUUGAUCAAGUGCAAUCUCAAAUCACUUGCGGAUGUGUCCGAGGGGUUAGCAGUGCAGGACCGGACCGAACCCAUUGAUCUAUGAAAGUUGGGGGGCCGAGAUGAUAAAAGAAAAUGUGGUGGCUAUAGUUGCCAUGGAUGAAGCUUCAAAGAAAUUUAGAUGAACCUCGUUAUUGAAGGAUGGGAAAAGAAACGACUUAGUUCUUGCACAGCUGAUCCAGGAUUGUCUGUAAGAAAAGGGAAACGACAUAAUGAACUUAAUUAAGAGUGGUAAUAACAUUUGUAACGCACUAAUCUAUCCACUUAAAGUGGCUAAACAAAACCGAACCCUAUAAGUGGCAAGAAGAAUUAUGGGUUGGUCAGUUGAGAGUUCAAAAGUCAAAGUUGACACUAGGAAUGGGAAUGGGGCGGUGUGGGUUGUUAUUUUGCUGUCUCUAUUUCGAUUAAAAAAUUGAUAAUUCAAAAGAUGUCAUGUGUUCGAAUAUCGACCUUUAUCUUAAAAGUACGAUAUCUUUCCAUUUGA
This is an RNA transcript of Hibiscus syriacus, 1283 nucleotides long. It is a transcript of the gene named abscisic acid receptor PYL8-like, with no coding region annotated. NCBI's taxonomy places the organism in Eukaryota, Viridiplantae, Streptophyta, Magnoliopsida, Malvales, Malvaceae. The transcript is spliced from 4 exons. The record is from RefSeq and is a predicted model, not a curated record.